Molecule: long non-coding RNA, 1680 nt
Organism: Paramormyrops kingsleyae
Lineage: Eukaryota; Metazoa; Chordata; Actinopteri; Osteoglossiformes; Mormyridae
Source: RefSeq, a predicted model, not a curated record
UCUGUCUGUGUCUGUGCUGUUUACAUGCUCUCCCUCUGUCUGUGUAUGUCACCCUACAGUCCCCACCUUGUCAUGGACCUGUCCAGGCCGCAGCCCCUUUGUAUGCCCUGUAUUAUCUGAGGUAAGCUCAAGUACUGAAUACAUGCAAAAUAGAUGGAGUAUAAUAGCAUUAGCAACACUUCAUUUAAAUUUGAGCUUUUUUCAUGCUAUAGAUGCCACAUCGAUUGUUUGUACUGGUGGCAUGUUAACGCAAGAGAGCAUGAGGCUUCAGGCUGUGUGUGUGCAUGUGCUGCUUAAUGCUGUUAUUACGUUUGACAGGGAGAUGUCUGUUUACCUCAAGAAACAAUCAAUGUUAUUGACUUGGUUUUAUUGUAGGGCGCCCGGGUCAAGAGCUGCCGCUCGGCUUCGGAGGAAAAGCACGAUCAAAUAUUCCAGUGCUGGAAUCCCACAGCUCCAUUAAUUCCAGUGUUAUCGGCCAGUCACAUGUUCACGUCACACUGCGGUAUAAACACUGUCCAUUGCAGCCAAUUUAAAGUCCCAACAACUCACAAGAGUGGAGCACAGCCCUCAUCGGGAAUAUUUUUUAUUUGUGGGGAUAACAGGGCUGCAGAGGAAGAACCUUUACGUCUGAAAGGUUAAUGAGAAGGCCAAGGUUGCCUUGUGCGAAACCGAAUUCAGCCCUGCUGGUCCGGUAGCGGAAAAUUAGACAGCUAUUUUUGUUUUUCUUCCCCAUCUCCUUCCACGGUCAUGGUGCAGUCUCCACUAAUUAAACUGUUCUGCUCCACAGAGCUUCAGCCUUGUCCACAGGAGGCCGAAUCUGUCUCGUUUCCAUCAUCUAACACAUCCACUAUAAUUACUUUUGUUUACAGUGAAAUUGGCCCAGUCCGAUGCAAACGUGGCAAAGAGACAAUGUCUGCUUGGAUUUUGUGGAGUCCUUUCCCAGAGAUGAAUUAGGAUGAAUUACAGCUCAUGGGAGUGCAUGGCAAAUCGCUCACGGUGGCAAGGACAGUCUCAGCACUGUCAUCAUGCUGCCACCCUCUGCCUGGCCUGCUGGCAGUCCAGCUUGGUCCUUCAGAAAGGACAUGCAGGAGUCCCUUGUUCCUCGAGCUCUAAAUGUCCCACCACAGGUUGGCGUACAGGAGCUGGAAAUCACUUUUCCAUAGGCAUUGGAGUUCAGCAGAAACCGCGUCUCGGACUGAGAUGAGUAAGCAUCUCAGCUUUCACUGAAUAGGUGCAACAUCUGGAUGUACAAUCACUUUAUACGAACUCCUGAGGACUGGACCUAGGCUGAAGUGUAAUACUGACGCCACUUCGUCUCCGGAGAUGGACGGCUAUGCAGACACAGACAGCUGGCCUCCUUUGCCACAAUAUGUUUCUCAAAAGAAGAAAAGGCCCAGACAAUGGAAGAGUCCUGAGCUUUCAUCAGUGUGGUGCUGCACUUCCUCGUCAUUUCAUUCUUCGGCGGGGGGAGCCGGCGGGGUGGGGGGACGCAGAUCACUCUUCUGUCUCAGGAAGAGCCAGACUGCGGCCCCCCCAGUCCAUUUGUCCUGAUGCUGUCCCAGACUGAAAAGGAAGCCUAAUAUACCUGAAGAGUCAGUCAUACCAGCUCUGUGCAUUGAUGCAUAUACAUACAUGCAUUCAUGAUAUAGUAAAUACUGUAUAUGUAGUAAUAUAUACAUA